Molecule: ribosomal RNA, 509 nt
Filed under: uncultured bacterium
Lineage: Bacteria
Description: bacterial SSU rRNA
Rfam family: Bacterial small subunit ribosomal RNA
Source: RNAcentral
UAGUCCACGCCGUAAACGAUGGAUACUAGCUGUUCGGACUUCGGUCUGAGUGGCUAAGCGAAAGUGAUAAGUAUCCCACCUGGGGAGUACGUUCGCAAGAAUGGAAACUCAAAGGAAUUGACGGGGGCCCGCACAAGCGGUGGAGCAUGUGGUUUAAUUCGAUGAUACGCGAGGAACCUUACCAGGGCUUAAAUGGUAGUGGGACAGGUCUGGAAACAGAUCCUUCUUACGGACUCAUUACAAGGUGCUGCAUGGUUAGUCGUCAGCUCGUGCCGUGAGGUGUCAGGUUAAGUCCUGUAACGAACGCAACCCCUAUCGUUAGUUACCAGCGAGUAAUGUCGGGAACUCUAGCGAGACUUGCCUGCGCAAGCAGUGAGGAAGGUGGGGAUGACGUCAAGUCAUUAUGGCCCUUACGCCCAGGGCUGCACACGUGCUACAAUGGACGGUACAACAGGCUGCCACUUCGCAAGAAGGAGCUAAUCCCUAAAGCCGUUCUCAGUUCGGAUCGG